CCCUGUGAGACCACCAGUGGCGAAGGCGUCUUACCAGAACGGGUCCGACGGUGAGGGACGAAAGCUGGGGGCACGAACCGGAUUAGAUACCCGGGUAGCCCCAGCUGUAAACGAUGCUCGUUAGGUGUCAGGAACGGUGCGACUGUUUCUGGUGCCGAAGGGAAGCCGUGAAACGAGCCACCUGGGAAGUACGGCCGCAAGGCUGAAACUUAAAGGAAUUGGCGGGGGAGCACUACAACGGGUGGAGCCUGCGGUUUAAUUGGACUCAACGCCGGAAAACUCACCGGGGGCGACAGCAAUAUGUAGGUCAGGUUAAAGGUCUUACCUGAAUCGCUGAGAGGAGGUGCAUGGCCGUCGUCAGUUCGUACUGUGAAGCAUCCUGUUAAGUCAGGCAACGAGCAAGACCCGUACCCACUGUUACCAGCAUAUCCUUUAUGGAUGAUGGGGACUCUGUGGGGACCGCUGCUGCUAAAGCAGAGGAAGGUGCGGGCUACGGUAGGUCAGUAUGCCCCGAAUCUCCCGGGCUACACGCGGGCUACAAUGGUUGGGACAAUG
This 555-nucleotide ribosomal RNA is filed under the name uncultured archaeon. RNAcentral describes it as "bacterial SSU rRNA". It matches the Rfam family "Archaeal small subunit ribosomal RNA", at positions 647 to 1200 of the family's 1478-position model. The record is from RNAcentral.